RNAcentral lists this ribosomal RNA (253 nucleotides) under uncultured bacterium. RNAcentral's name for it is "partial 16S ribosomal RNA". It matches the Rfam family "Bacterial small subunit ribosomal RNA", at positions 524 to 776 of the family's 1533-position model. The record is from RNAcentral.
UACGUAGGGGGCAAGCGUUGUCCGGAUUUAUUGGGCGUAAAGCGCUCGCAGGUGGUUUGUCGCGUCGUGCGUGAAAGACCCCGGCUCAACUGGGGGGUGUCGUGCGAUACGGGCGGACUGGAGGCCAGUAGGGGGAUGCGGAAUUCCGGGUGUAGUGGUGGAAUGCGUAGAGAUCCGGAGGAACACCAGCGGCGAAGGCGGCAUCCUGGACUGGUCCUGACACUCAGGAGCGAAAGCGUGGGGAGCGAUCCGG